RNAcentral lists this long non-coding RNA (1653 nucleotides) under Salmo salar (Atlantic salmon). RNAcentral describes it as "lncRNA (ENSSSAG00000110612.1)". Lineage: Eukaryota; Metazoa; Chordata; Actinopteri; Salmoniformes; Salmonidae. The record is from RNAcentral.
CUCAAACUCCACUACCCUCCAGCCUCUGGUGGUUUAGUAGGUUUGGGGUUGAACUGAGGGCCUACAGGACAGCUGAGGGCUGCUGUCACGUUUUAAGCAGAAACUGUGGUUAACUCGUUGUCUGAAUGACUUUAAUCAUGUCCGCCUUUUACCUGAGAAUCAUCCUCAAACAUGCAUCUCAUCUGGAACAUCAAAGAUUUGUACAGAAGGAGAGAUACUUCUGGUAAGCUCUUAGUUGGUGGUUUUGACUUGAGGAGAGAUACUUCUGGUAAGCUGUUAGUUGGUGGUUUUGACUUGAGGAGAGACACUUCUGGUAAGCUCUUAGUUGGUGGUUUUGACUUGAGGAGAGACACUUCUGGUAAGCUGUUGGUGGUUUUGACUUGAGGAGAGAUACUUCUGGUAAGCUGUUAGUUGGUGGUUUUGACUUGAGGAGAGAUACUUCUGGUAAGCUCUUAGUUGGUGGUUUUGACUUGAGGAGAGACACUUCUGGUAAGCUGUUAGUUGGUGGUUUUGACUUGAGGAGAGAUACUUCUGGUAAGCUGUUAGUUGGUGGUUUUGACUUGAGGAGAGAUACUUCUGGUAAGCUGUUAGUUGGUGGUUUUGACUUGAGGAGAGAUACUUCUGGUAAGCUCUUAGUUGGUGGUUUUGACUUGAGGAGAGAUACUUCUGGUAAGCUGUUAGUUGGUGGUUUUGACUUGAGGAGAGACACUUCUGGUAAGCUCUUAGUUGGUGGUUUUGACUUGAGGAGAGACACUUCUGGUAAGCUGUUAGUUGGUGGUUUUGACUUGAGGAGAGAUACUUCUGGUAAGCUGUUAGUUGGUGGUUUUGACUUGAGGAGAGAUACUUCUGGUAAGCUGUUAGUUAGUGGUUUUGACUUGAGGAGAGAUACUUCUGGUAAGCUGUUAGUUGGUGGUUUUGACUUGAGGAGAGAUACUUCUGGUAAGCUGUUAGUUGGUGGUUUUGACUUGAGGAGAGAUACUUCUGGUAAGCUCUUAGUUGGUGGUUUUGACUUGAGGAGAGACACUUCUGGUAAGCUCUUAGUUGGUGGUUUUGACUUGAGGAGAGACACUUCUGGUAAGCUGUUAGUUGGUGGUUUUGACUUGAGGAGAGACACUUCUGGUAAGCUGUUAGUUGGUGGUUUUGACUUGAGGAGAGAUACUUCUGGUAAGCUGUUAGUUGGUGGUUUUGACUUGAGGAGAGAUACUUCUGGUAAGCUGUUAGUUGGUGGUUUUGACUUGACUAAGUCCAUCUGCUGGUUAUGGGUUGGUGUGGGUGUUGUGAAGUGAGUGGUGUGUUGAAUCAUGUUGUUGCUGAGGGAAUGACACAACCACUUCACACUUCCUGUUUCUCCUCCCCGUUGUAACAGUGACUUCCUUUCCCAUACUGUAUCAUGUACGUGCGCACACAAAGUGCAUGAACGUCAUACACACACAGUUGAGGAAGUGAGACAAAAAUUAUCAUAGUUAGGCCUACACAUACCACUUUUUUAAUUCUACGACUCCUUGUCCAGAACAUUUAUUUUAUUUUUUUGCGUGAUGGUUUUGGUUGUGUGUGUGUUUGUUUUUAGCACAGAGAUCUCAGAUAGCCAUGUGUUUUACGCCUGCUGGUACCUACUGUGUGUCUCUUGAUCGUCUCUUAAUUAGUAGUCUGCCC